CUGCUUGCCCGCCGGCUCUGGAGCCUGCCUGCUGCCUGCCUGCUCUGUGCCCCUGCCCAGGCCUGAUCUCGUGGACUUCAGCAAACUCACCAAGUCCAAUGCCAACUACAACCUGCAGAGAGCCUUCCGCACAGCUGAGCAGCACCUGGGGCUGGCGCGGCUGCUGGAUCCUGAAGAUGUGAACAUGGAGGCUCCAGAUGAGAAGUCCAUCAUCACCUACGUGGUCUCUUUCUACCACUAUUUCUCCAAGAUGAAGGCUCUGGCUGUGGAGGGGAAGCGUAUCGGGAAGGUCUUGGACCAGGUGUUGGAGGUGGGGAAGAUCAUAGAACGCUACGAGGAGCUGGCGGCUGAGCUACUGGCCUGGAUCCACCGCACCGUGGGCCUCAUCAGCAAUCAGAAAUUUGCCAACUCCUUAAGUGGGGUGCAGCAGCAACUCCAGGCUUUCACGGCCUAUUGCACGCUGGAGAAGCCUGUCAAGUGAGGCCCAGCUCUGGAGGGAGGGUGGGCAGGGGUGGCAUGACGGCAGGGCUCCUGAGCUCAUGCCCCUUCAGGUUCCAGGAGAAGGGGAACCUAGAGGUGCUGCUCUUCAGCAUCCAGAGCAAACUGCGUGCCUGCAACCGUCGCCUCUUUGUGCCUCGGGAGGGCUGUGGCAUC
RNAcentral lists this small RNA (654 nucleotides) under Pan troglodytes (chimpanzee). RNAcentral describes it as "retained intron". The record is from RNAcentral. Lineage: Eukaryota; Metazoa; Chordata; Mammalia; Primates; Hominidae.